CAUCAGUCUCCGUCUACGCUUCUCUGAAAAAAAAAAAUCUCAGAUCCCGCCUGAACCCUAGCCAGCGCGGCGGCCGGGGAUGGUGGCGAAGAAGCCGGCCGCGGCUGCGGCAGCCGGCCCGGAGGCGGAGGAGCGGAGGCGCCUGCGGUCGCUGGCCUUCUCCAAGGGCCUGCUGCAGCGCGGCGAGCCGGCGGCGCCGCGGGCGGCGCUGCCGCCGUCCGGCGCCGUGGCGCGGCUGCAGGGGCGCGACAUCGUGCGGCCGCGGGGCCAGCGCAGAGGCCGCUUCCUAUUCUCCUUCCCCGGCCUCCUCGCGCCCGCCGCCGCCGGCGGCCGCGUCGGGGAGCUCGCCGACCUCGGCACCAAGAACCCCGUCCUCUACCUCGAGUUCCCGCAGGGGAGGAUGAAGCUGCUGGGCACGCACGUGUACCCCAAGAACAAGUACCUCACGCUGCAGAUGACCAGAUCCGCCAAGGGCGUCGCCUGCGAGGACGUCUUCGAGAGCAUGAUUGUGUUUUCCGAAGCCUGGUGGGUCGGGACCAAGGAGGAGAACCCCGACGAGCUCAAACUCGAGUUUCCGAAAGAGAUGCAGAAUGCUGCGGAAGAUGUUGAUUUUAAAGGCGGGGCAGGUGCUGCCAGUGGCGAGCUAGUUACAGUAAAUAAACCCAGAAAGCAGGCCGCUGUGCCCCGCACAGCAGAGCCCCGCACACCAGAGCCCCACACACCAGAGUAUGAAUCCGAUGCCGAUUCAGAGGAUUCAGAUGUUAAGGAUGAGAUUGGCACGCAGACUACGAGUGAUACACCUGUUAGGAAAUCUGCCAGAACUGCUGGGAAGACCUUCAAGUUCGCAGAGCUCGCUGGAGGAGAUUCGGCUGAAAGUGACACUGAGAUUGAGUUUGCUGAGGACUUGGAUGAGAAGAUGAAGACUGAAGAAAUUAAGGAAGAAAUCCCAGGUGAAGACAUUAAGGAGGAAAUCCCAAGUGAAGACAUUAAACCUGAAGAUUCUCCAGCAGAGUCUCUUUCUAUCAAGAAGCAACCACUUGUUCAGGCUAAUUUGUCUACCAUGUUUAAAAAAGCAGAAGAAAAAAAGAGACCUACAACUACAAGAAGUCCUAAAGGAUCUCCAGCUACAAAAGGUCCUGCUGCUAAGAAGCCGCGAGCAACUCCAACGAAAAAACAGUCACCAGCGAAGAAGGAAGCAAGUGGAUCUCAGAAAAAGCAAAAAGCAAAGGUAGAAGAAGAUGAAAUUGAAGAGCUCUCGGGUGAUCCCUCUCAGGAUGAUGAUGCAGCUCCUGCUAAGAAGCAGCGAGGAACCCCAAAGGGAAAACAGUCAGCAGCAAAGAAGGAAGCAAGCGGAUCCAGGAAAAAGAAAAAGGCGAAGGUAGACGAGGAGCUCUCUGAUGAAUCCUAUCAGGACGACGACAUGGGCGAGGAGGAGGACGAUGAUAGCGAUGACGACUGGGCCGGGUAAGGAGUGCUCAGAUCUGACAUGCCGUGGAAAUGGUGGAUCGGGGAUGAGCGACCCUCCCAUCCUCCCUGGCGUGUGUAGUAGAGCAGCGUGCAUAGAGUGAGUGUGUUUGCUCUUUUUAGCUUAGCAGUGUGAAAAAAUGUUUGUUUGUUGAUGUACAAAUACUAGAGCAUCUCACUCCAUGUGUACCGCAGGAAUCCGAUCCCGGCCCACGCGGGUUGUAAUACGAGUAGAAAUUGCGAGAUAUAAUUCGCUAGACAUGUUUGUUUGUUGUAAUAACAGGAGCAGAAAUCGUUGCGAGGUUGUGCUGAUAAAUUCAAGGUCCAUAAGCUUAUGCUAGGCUCUGCUUGGAUGGCAAGAGCAGGUGGCCAUGGAGGAAUAACUUGCCAGA
Molecule: ribosomal RNA, 1856 nt
Filed under: Triticum aestivum (bread wheat)
Lineage: Eukaryota; Viridiplantae; Streptophyta; Magnoliopsida; Poales; Poaceae
Description: partial small subunit ribosomal RNA
Source: RNAcentral